RNAcentral lists this non-coding RNA (45 nucleotides) under Schistosoma mattheei. Lineage: Eukaryota; Metazoa; Platyhelminthes; Trematoda; Strigeidida; Schistosomatidae. The record is from RNAcentral.
AUUCAAAUGACGAGCCUCAAAUAGGACGAAACGCGCGUCCUAGAU